RNAcentral lists this ribosomal RNA (536 nucleotides) under Staphylococcus cohnii. RNAcentral describes it as "bacterial SSU rRNA". It matches the Rfam family "Bacterial small subunit ribosomal RNA", at positions 56 to 576 of the family's 1533-position model. Lineage: Bacteria; Bacillati; Bacillota; Bacilli; Caryophanales; Staphylococcaceae. The record is from RNAcentral.
UGCAGUCGAGCGACAGAUAAGGAGCUUGCUCCUUUGACGUUAGCGGCGGACGGGUGAGUAACACGUGGGUAACCUACCUAUAAGACUGGAAUAACUCCGGGAAACCGGGGCUAAUGCCGGAUAACAUUUAGAACCGCAUGGUUCUAAAGUGAAAGAUGGUUUUGCUAUCACUUAUAGAUGGACCCGCGCCGUAUUAGCUAGUUGGUAAGGUAACGGCUUACCAAGGCAACGAUACGUAGCCGACCUGAGAGGGUGAUCGGCCACACUGGAACUGAGACACGGUCCAGACUCCUACGGGAGGCAGCAGUAGGGAAUCUUCCGCAAUGGGCGAAAGCCUGACGGAGCAACGCCGCGUGAGUGAUGAAGGUCUUCGGAUCGUAAAACUCUGUUAUUAGGGAAGAACAAAUGUGUAAGUAACUGUGCACGUCUUGACGGUACCUAAUCAGAAAGCCACGGCUAACUACGUGCCAGCAGCCGCGGUAAUACGUAGGUGGCAAGCGUUAUCCGGAAUUAUUGGGCGUAAAGCGCGCGUAGGC